Molecule: unclassified non-coding RNA, 2642 nt
Filed under: Hevea brasiliensis (rubber tree)
Lineage: Eukaryota; Viridiplantae; Streptophyta; Magnoliopsida; Malpighiales; Euphorbiaceae
Source: RNAcentral
UAAAGAAGAAAAGAAAAUUAUUUACAUUAAUUUCUACCAGUAUCAAUAGAGUAGAAUUUAUUCAUUCAUCAAGCCAGUCCAAAUCGUAGUGUUUCUCUGCUACCUGAACAUGGAGACUAUUCUUUCCCAAAUCCUUCCACAACCAAGAAAUCUCUUCAUCACAAAUUACAAUUCGUAAAGACUCUAAAGACUCAACAGACUUUGGUAGUUCCCAAAUCUCUGAGCAUUCCCUCAUGUCAAUCUUCACCAACAUUGAUAAUUUACCUAUCUUCUCUGGAAGACAUUUUAAAUUAAUACAUUGAGAAAUGUCUAGGUACCUCAAUGACACCAGCUCACAUGUGCUUGAUGGAAGCAUCUUCAGUGUUGGGCAAGCAUACAACCUUAGAAUUUUUAGAACUUUCAGGUUACCCAAAUUGGCAGGGAUUUCUUGUAGAUUGUGGCAAUUGGUUAUACUAAGACUGUUCAGUGAAUGCAUCCUACAAAUGCUAAGAGGUAACUUUAUCAAAUCAUCACAGUGAUCAAUUGUGAGCUCCGAGAGGGAAGGGAAGAUUUGGGCUAGGUCUAUGACAGAUUGAUCGAGGCUGUUAUUGAUCUUGCAUAGGAUGAGAGACAUUUUCUGCAAAUUUUUCAGGGGGAAGGUAGAUUCUGUCCAUUGGGCAAUUGAAACUUUUUCAAGCCAAAGGCUUUUCAAAUUGGCUAAAUCAGAAAAAGCUGAAAAAUUUUUAAGUACUGCAUUUCGUGUGCUGUAAUUUAUCACUAUCAGUGCUCUAAGCCUUGGCAUGUCAUAUAUGAAGGGAGGCAAGAAGUACUCAUUAGCUGAGAAGUUUAAGAUGAGGACUUCAGCUUUCGGGAAAUCCAUCCGGAACCAGUCCAUUUCUCUCAUCUCACCUGUAUGAAUUGAAACAAUUUGAGCAUGGAAUGGCUGAUCAGCACUUCUCACCCAUUCUUUUGGAACCUCUGCAUCUCUUCUUGGCAUAAGUAAUCGCUUGCGUUCAUUUACAUUUCCAUGAUUGGCCAAAUGAAUAGCAAGAUCCCGUAACACAUCAUGUUGAGUAACAAAAAUCUCAUAGUAACUGCUAUAUAGAUCUCCAGCUCGUGCAUCCUUCACCAAAGUGAGAAGAUUCUUGUUAGAAAGUUCAACAAGGAUAGCAAAAGCUUCUUCCCCAUUAAGGUCAUGUAUCUCAACCCACAUAUUGAUGAGAACGUCAAGAGGGAUCUUCUUGUCUUCAGGAAAGCACCCCAAAUCUAAGAAGCAUUCCCUAACCUUUUUUGACAAGAAGUUAAUACUUAUUGCCAUCCUAUCAAGCAAUUUGUUUUCAUGGGACUCGCAAAUAGGUUCACCCCUUGAUAAUCUCUUCUUUGCACUCGCCCAAUACAUCUCAGGUUGGUCCCUUAGUGAAGCUCCGAUCACUUUAAGUGCCAAAGGCAGUCCUUUGCACUCAUUUACGAUCUGCUUGACCAGAUUGGCAUCAGCAGCAGCCGGAACAGAUUUUUUUUCAAAAGCAGAAAGGCAAAAGAGGGAGAUUGCCUCAUCUUCCCUCAAAAAUUCUACUUCAUAAGUAGCACUGAGAACUGAUGGGAAUUUGAAUCGUGAAACCACAAGUGUUUUGCAUCCAGCUACUCUAAAAAUUAGCUGUUCAAGUACAGAAAGUGACCACACAUCAUCCAAAACAACCAACAUUCGAGUUCCAUUUCUCCAAUCCAAUUGUGGAUUCCAUUCGUUAAACAGGCCAUUGACACCCCCGGCCACAGCAUCACUUCCUGAAACAAAUCUCCAGAUUUUUGCCUUUAAUUGUUCCAAAUUUGGAGACUGUGAUACUGUCAAGAACAAAAUCCUAUUCUGGAAAUGACUUCUAACUUGAUCAUCCCUGCAAACUUCAUUAGCCAAAGUGGUCUUCCCAGAGCCACCAAUCCCACAAAUCCCAACAACCCCCAGAUCUUCUCUCCCAAUCACCAUCUCCUUCACCUUCCUCUUCCCCACCUCCAUGCCCACCCCCAAUAAAUUUGCUAAACUAGUAUCCCACCUCUCCUCCUCCACUUCCACUCUCUUCACUGCCUCGUCCAUCCACCCUCCACUCCCCACACCAAUCUUCAUAACCCCAAGCCUUUGCUCCAGUCGCCUCGCAGAACCCUCCAGCCUAUCAAAUCUCUCAGCUGUCUCAAACCUCAGAUGAUGGACGUCAGCCAAAACGUGUGCCUGCAUCGGUACAUUAACAAACAUCGAAAUUUUCUUUUCAAGCUUUUCCAUCUUUCUAGCAAGUUGAAGGUUUUUGUAGACAUUCCAUCGAUUGGAGAGUAGGACCUUGCGGGCAAGCUCGAUGCCAUCCCGGAGAUUGUCCGAGAGGCGGUCGAGUUGGACUUGGCGCACCGCGGGAAGUUCGACACCGGAAUAUUUGAUUUCUUGAAUGAUGGGGAGGAGUUCAUUUAUGCUGGUUAUGAGCGAAUCCGCGCUCGUUUUACACAUUAAGGAUUUGCGCGAUAUUGUUAUUAACAUUUUGAGGAGCUCGGUGGCUAUCUCGCCGGAGAAGAAGUCUGUCACCCCCAUCGCCGUUGCUCGUGGCGCGGGUUUUGGGGGAAAUUAAGGCGGGCGAGUUAUCGAGAGGAGUAACAAAAGCUACCAAUGCGCAACGUAUAAAGUCCGA